Molecule: ribosomal RNA, 431 nt
Filed under: uncultured bacterium
Lineage: Bacteria
Description: partial 16S ribosomal RNA
Rfam family: Bacterial small subunit ribosomal RNA
Source: RNAcentral
AACGAACGCUGGCGGCAGGCCUAACACAUGCAAGUCGAGCGCCCCGCCAGGGGAGCGGCGGACGGGUGAGUAACGCGUGGGAACGUACCCUUUGCUACGGAAUAGCCUCGGGACACUGGGAGUAAUACCGUAUGUGUCCUUCGGGAGAAAGAUUUAUCGGCAAGGGAUCGGCCCGCGUUGGAUUAGGUAGUUGGUGGGGUAAUGGCCUACCAAGCCGACGAUCCAUAGCUGGUUUGAGAGGAUGAUCAGCCACACUGGGACUGAGACACGGCCCAGACUCCUACGGGAGGCAGCAGUGGGGAAUCUUAGACAAUGGGCGCAAGCCUGAUCUAGCCAUGCCGCGUGAGCGAUGAAGGCCUUAGGGUUGUAAAGCUCUUUCAGGGGGGAAGAUAAUGACUGUACCCCCAGAAGAAGCCCCGGCUAACUCCGUG